CACGUAGGGUGCGAGCGUUGUCCGGAAUUAUUGGGCGUAAAGAGCUCGUAGGCGGUGUGUCGCGUCGGCCGUGAAAACCUGCAGCUUAACUGUGGGCUUGCGGUCGAUACGGGCAUCACUGGAGUUCGGCAGGGGAGACUGGAAUUCCUGGUGUAGCGGUGAAAUGCGCGGAUAUCAGGAGGAACACCGGUGGCGAAGGCGGGUCUCUGGGCCGAUACUGACGCUGAGGAGCGAAAGCGUGGGGAGCGAACAGG
Molecule: ribosomal RNA, 254 nt
Filed under: uncultured bacterium
Lineage: Bacteria
Description: partial 16S ribosomal RNA
Rfam family: Bacterial small subunit ribosomal RNA
Source: RNAcentral